Molecule: transfer RNA, 73 nt
Filed under: Bos taurus (domestic cattle)
Lineage: Eukaryota; Metazoa; Chordata; Mammalia; Artiodactyla; Bovidae
Also listed under: 5 other names
Rfam family: tRNA
About the family: Transfer RNA (tRNA) molecules are approximately 80 nucleotides in length. Their secondary structure includes four short double-helical elements and three loops (D, anti-codon, and T loops).
Source: Rfam by way of RNAcentral
UCUCUGGUGGUCUAGUGGUUAGGAUUUAGUGCUUUUACUGCCAUGGUCCUGGGUUCAAUCCCUGGUUGGGGAA